AAUAUGUCCUCUCUAAUGCAAAACAAUGUAUAUAACCAAAUUGUUCUGCCUCGCUUGUGGACAAGAUAAAUAUUUCUAUUAUCCUAGUGUCUAACCUUAUUAAAUGGUUGGAUGCUUGAGAAACAUAGAAAAACAACU
Bactrocera neohumeralis is the source of this 138-nucleotide small nucleolar RNA. RefSeq annotates it as small nucleolar RNA psi28S-1192. The transcript has a single exon. Lineage: Eukaryota; Metazoa; Arthropoda; Insecta; Diptera; Tephritidae. The record is from RefSeq and is a predicted model, not a curated record.